Long non-coding RNA from Mya arenaria, 231 nucleotides. RefSeq lists it as uncharacterized. Lineage: Eukaryota; Metazoa; Mollusca; Bivalvia; Myida; Myidae. The transcript is spliced from 3 exons. The record is from RefSeq and is a predicted model, not a curated record.
AUUUGUUUUUCAGGGGAGGGUUCGGUAGGGGUUUCCCCUCCCGACAACCAUCAAAUUUGGCAUGUUUGACCUGGUUUCAACAAGCAUAAUAAUGUUGGAGAUGGGGAUGAUGACAGACCAGCCAGCCGAACUCAAAUUGGAUUAGACAUCAUGCGCCACCUGGUUGCUGAAGCUCGAGAGGACCUAUAUGGACAAAAAAUCCUGUUCAAGAUAGUUCUGUCUGGAAUUCCA